UACGUAGGAGACGAGCGUUGUCCGGAGUUACUGGGCGUAAAGGGUGCGCAGGCGGCCUUGCGCGUCGCGAGUGAAAUCUCCCGGCUCAACUGGGAGGGUGGUCGCGAGACGGCAGGGCUUGAGGCUCGGUGAGGGGCGUGGAAUUCCGGGUGGAGCGGUGAAAUGCGUAGAUAUCGUUUGGAACGCCGAUGGUGAAAACAGGUUGCUGGGGCUGUGCUGACGCUGAGACACGAAAGCCAGGGGAGCGAACGGG
This 253-nucleotide ribosomal RNA is filed under the name uncultured bacterium. RNAcentral's name for it is "partial 16S ribosomal RNA". It matches the Rfam family "Bacterial small subunit ribosomal RNA", at positions 524 to 776 of the family's 1533-position model. The record is from RNAcentral.